This is a long non-coding RNA of Amblyraja radiata (thorny skate), 106 nucleotides long. RefSeq lists it as uncharacterized. NCBI's taxonomy places the organism in Eukaryota, Metazoa, Chordata, Chondrichthyes, Rajiformes, Rajidae. The transcript is spliced from 3 exons. The record is from RefSeq and is a predicted model, not a curated record.
AUUGACCUCGCUGUCAUCGUCGGUCCCGAAAAGGACGCAAGCAUCCGGCGCCAAUCAGUGGCAGCCACCACUUGUUGCAAUAAUUCAAUGGUUGGCAACGCUGUUC